This 435-nucleotide small RNA is filed under the name Pan troglodytes (chimpanzee). RNAcentral describes it as "retained intron". The record is from RNAcentral. Lineage: Eukaryota; Metazoa; Chordata; Mammalia; Primates; Hominidae.
GAGGGGAGGAGCCCGGCAGGGAGGGAGGGUCAGGUGCGUUCCCGGCGGGGCUGAGCAGGACCCCCUCGCCCUCCAGGGGACACCAGGAGAAGAUUCGGCAGCGGCAGUCCAUCCUGCCUCCUCCCCAGGGCCCGGCACCCAUCCCCUUCCAGCACCGCGGCGGGGAUUCCCCGGAGGCCAAGAAUCGCGUGGGCCCGCAGGUGCCACUCAGCGAGCCAGGUAGGCCGAGGGGCUGGAGGGGGCUCCACAGGGCUCAUUGUGGGGGGCUCGGUGAGCAGCCGCCGUGUCCCCCAUCAGGUUUCCGCCGUCGGGAGUCGCAGGAGGAGGAGCCGCGGGCCGUGCUGGCUCAGAAGAUAGAGAAGGAGACGCAAAUCCUCAACUGCGCCCUGGACGACAUCGAGUGGUUUGUGGCCCGGCUGCAGAAGGCGGCCGAGG